RNAcentral lists this ribosomal RNA (253 nucleotides) under uncultured bacterium. RNAcentral's name for it is "partial 16S ribosomal RNA". It matches the Rfam family "Bacterial small subunit ribosomal RNA", at positions 524 to 776 of the family's 1533-position model. The record is from RNAcentral.
UACGUAGGGUGCAAGCGUUGUCCGGAAUUAUUGGGCGUAAAGAGCUCGUAGGCGGUUUGUUGAGUCGGAUGUGAAAUCCCGAGGCUCAACCUCGGGUCUGCAGUCGAUACGAGCAAACUAGAGUGUUGCAGGGGAGACUGGAAUUCCUGGUGUAGCGGUGAAAUGCGCAGAUAUCAGGAGGAACACCGGUGGCGAAGGCGGGUCUCUGGGCAACAACUGACGCUGAGGAGCUAAAGCGUGGGGAGCGAACAGG